AGCCUUCCCUGAUCAUGGAGUUCUUGGCUCUGCUCCUCUGCCUGCUGGCAGCUCCCUGCUGUGUCCUGUCCCAGGUGCAGCUGCAGGAGUCAGGACCUGAUCUUUUAAAACCUUCAGAUACCCUGUCCCUCACCUGCACAGUCUCCGGAUUCUCUCUAACCAGUUAUGGUGUACACUGGAUCCGUCAGGUUCCAGGAAAGGGGCUGGAGUGGAUUGGUGUUAUGGGGUAUAGUGGAAGUACAGCUUAUAACUCAGCCCUUCAAUCACCAGUGAGCAUCACCCGGGAAACUUCCAAGAGCCAAGUUUCACUAACACUGAGAAGCCUGAGAUCUGAGGACACAGCCAUGUAUUACUGUGCAAAAGACACAGUGAGAGGAACUCCAUAUGAGCUCAGACACAAACCUUCCUGCAGAGGGCUCAGGACAACAGGGGGUGCACAAGACACACCACACUCUCUGGAGGCCUAG
Octodon degus (degu) is the source of this 467-nucleotide non-coding RNA. The record is from the annotation of a RefSeq genome assembly. Lineage: Eukaryota; Metazoa; Chordata; Mammalia; Rodentia; Octodontidae.